UUGAACGCUGGCGGCAGGCCUCACACAUGCAAGUCGCACGGUAACAGGAAGCAGCUUGCUGCUUUGCUGACGAGUGGCGGACGGGUGAGUAAUGUCUGGGAAACUGCCUGAUGGAGGGGGAUAACUACUGGAAACGGUAGCUAAUACCGCAUAACGUCGCAAGACCAAAGAGGGGGACCUUAGGGCCUCUUGCCAUCGGAUGUGCCCAGAUGGGAUUAGCUAGUAGGUGGGGUAACGGCUCACCUAGGCGACGAUCCCUAGCUGGUCUGAGAGGAUGACCAGCCACACUGGAACUGAGACACGGUCCAGACUCCUACGGGAGGCAGCAGUGGGGAAUAUUGCACAAUGGGCGCAAGCCUGAUGCAGCCAUGCCGCGUGUAUGAAGAAGGCCUUCGGGUUGUAAAGUACUUUCAGCGGGGAGGAAGGGAGUAAAGUUAAUACCUUUGCUCAUUGACGUUACCCGCAGAAGAAGCACCGGCUAACUCCGUG
This 489-nucleotide ribosomal RNA is filed under the name uncultured bacterium. RNAcentral describes it as "partial 16S ribosomal RNA". It matches the Rfam family "Bacterial small subunit ribosomal RNA", at positions 30 to 507 of the family's 1533-position model. The record is from RNAcentral.